AGUGAACGCUGGCGGUAGGCCUAACACAUGCCAGUCGAACGGCAGCACAGUAAGAGCUUGCUCUUACGGGUGGCGAGUGGCGGACGGGUGAGGAAUACAUCGGAAUCUACUUUUUCGUGGGGGAUAACGUAGGGAAACUUACGCUAAUACCGCAUACGACCUACGGGUGAAAGCAGGGGAUCUUCGGACCUUGCUCGAUUGAGUGAGCCGAUGUCGGAUUAGCUAGUUGGCGGGGUAAAGGCCCACCAAGGCGACGAUCCGUAGCUGGUCUGAGAGGAUGAUCAGCCACACUGGAACUGAGACACGGUCCAGACUCCUACGGGAGGCAGCAGUGGGGAAUAUUGGACAAUGGGCGCAAGCCUGAUCCAGCCAUACCGCGUGGGUGAAGAAGGCCUUCGGGUUGUAAAGCCCUUUUGUUGGGAAAGAAAAGCAGCAGGUUAAUACCCCGCUGUUCUGACGGUACCCAAAGAAUAAGCACCGGCUAACUUCGUG
RNAcentral lists this ribosomal RNA (492 nucleotides) under uncultured bacterium. Its description in RNAcentral is "partial 16S ribosomal RNA". It matches the Rfam family "Bacterial small subunit ribosomal RNA", at positions 29 to 507 of the family's 1533-position model. The record is from RNAcentral.